GCUUGCUUUUUCCACCCGACCACUCCUCACUACAGGAGCAGACAGCUUCUCCUCUUCCGACGAAAUCAGAGCAGGCCACCGAGGUUCGCCUUCCUCUUUGCAUUUGAAGCGGAGGGCGUGUUUCAGUACCAAGGAGAUCGCUGAUAUGGCCUCUCUCCACCAAGGAUGGGUAAUGACUAAAACGGGUCCUUAAUGAGUAUGGCAAGAUCGGGAAUUGAUCCUUUUAAUCGCAUCUCUUGGUUUUGGCUCCAUCAUCCGACCGAGGUCAGUUUCGAAGUGACUUUUGCUGUUGAUUUCUCGCGUCCGACAAGUAUACCAACCGCAGUUACAGAGCAGUUGAAUGGAGGAGUAAUUCUCAUUUCUUGUCCGUGAUUUUUUUUCAGUCUUUGGUUUAAUUCGCGACCGUGCUAAUCCCAGGGCGUAUCUGGUUAUAGAUAGGUUUGAGGCACCAAAUUAGUCGAUAAACUGAGCUCUAGUUCUUAAUCUUCUUUUGUAGCUUAACUCGUCUUUUUCAGUUCAACAUUGUAUAUUCUCUGUGUGCAUCUGCUUAUUUCGUUUGCCUCUCCACACUCUUCCUUUUAUAUCUUUUCUUGCUUUGAAGAGUUUCAAGGACUGUCUAAAACAGGCUUGAUUCUGAAAAGCCAUAUCAUGUCCUUGGCCGUUUUAUGUUCGUCUUUUUCAUGAGGAAGCAAAUUGCAGUUCUCAGAUAAAAUAAGUAGCCAGGAAUAAUAAUAUCUGCUUGUUUCCAUAAAUGGAUCCUCUUCCCGUGAUUCAAUCCUGUUCUUUCUGGGGUUACUUUGCUUUAGAUAACGAGCAACAAUUCUUUCUUAAGCUGUUACACCAAGUUUGUUCUACAUUUUUGUCCUUUGGGAUCUAUUUUCCCAUGAUAUGCAGUAGCUAACAUGGUGUUGCAAUCAUUCCAGUCAGAUCAAAAUUAUCAAUCUCAUUCAAUGGGGCAAGGUUUGAUCAUUGAUGUUGUUGUUACAGUCAACUCGAACUGCUAGAAGGCUAUCUUGUGGAGAAGGGGUAUGGAGAUAAAUUGGCAAAAGCUGAUGCAUGCCUGAUAGAGCAAAGCCUUUUUGCCAGCUCUAUUGAAAUGUUAGUGUGAUAAAACGUAUCAGCUCCUUUUGGACUGAGGGGUCUCCACCAUAGGUACCGUCAUCUGCAAAAAUAUAAUUCUACACCAUAUGAAUCCUCUUUUAUUAGUAAGCGCACCAUCAUCGUAAUUCAUUUUAUGAGAAGCUUAUCCGACAAUCCUCGACAGCCAUGACCAUCUGC
Long non-coding RNA from Eucalyptus grandis, 1278 nucleotides. RefSeq lists it as uncharacterized. The record is from RefSeq and is a predicted model, not a curated record. Lineage: Eukaryota; Viridiplantae; Streptophyta; Magnoliopsida; Myrtales; Myrtaceae. The transcript is spliced from 2 exons.